UACGUAGGGGGCAAGCGUUGUCCGGAUUAUUGGGCGUAAAGAGCGUGUAGGCGGCUUUACAGGUCCGUUGUGAAAACUCGAGGCUCAACCUCGAGACGCCGGUGGAAACCGUAAGGCUAGAGUCCGGAAGAGGAGAGUGGAAUUCCUGGUGUAGCGGUGAAAUGCGCAGAUAUCAGGAAGAACACCCGUGGCGAAGGCGGCUCUCUGGGACGGUACUGACGCUGAGACGCGAAAGCGUGGGGAGCGAACAGG
RNAcentral lists this ribosomal RNA (252 nucleotides) under uncultured bacterium. RNAcentral describes it as "partial 16S ribosomal RNA". It matches the Rfam family "Bacterial small subunit ribosomal RNA", at positions 524 to 776 of the family's 1533-position model. The record is from RNAcentral.